This 381-nucleotide unclassified non-coding RNA is filed under the name uncultured fungus. RNAcentral describes it as "sequence contains ITS1". The stretch from base 1 to 107 matches the Rfam family "5.8S ribosomal RNA", at positions 50 to 154 of the family's 154-position model. Lineage: Eukaryota; Fungi. The record is from RNAcentral.
GAAAUGCGAUACUUGGUGUGAAUUGUAGAAUCUCGCGAACCAUCAAGUCUUUGAACGCAAGUUGUGCCCGAAGCCAUUUGGUUGAUGGCACGUCUGCCUGGGCGUCUCAUGUUGCGUCGCCCGCGCCCCUCCCCCCCCCACGAAGGUGGGAAGAAGGGCUGUAGGAGAAUGUUGGCCCCCCGCGCGCGUCGGCGUGCAGUCGACUCAAAAGCGAGUCCCCCGCGACGGAUGACGCGUCGCGAUGAGUGGUGGUUGACAAACCGUUGCGUCGCCUCGCGUGCGUCCGGACCGUCACGGGAGGCCUGUCGUGACCCUAUCGCGCCGCCGCCAAGGCGCUCCGAUCGCGACCACAGGUUAGGCAGGAUUACCUGCUAAGUUUAA